Molecule: long non-coding RNA, 1106 nt
Filed under: Struthio camelus australis
Lineage: Eukaryota; Metazoa; Chordata; Aves; Struthioniformes; Struthionidae
Description: lncRNA (ENSSCUG00000007350.1)
Source: RNAcentral
GGUGGGAGGACGGCUUCGGCUGUACAGGCAUGCCCGAGGGUGCUGGUACAUCGCAAGGCAGUUUAAAACCACUGGACCGAACAGAUCUAAGGUCAAAUUUAGUCAGUUAUGAUUAGUGCAACCCCCAGUUAUUUACUUGAGAUUUAGGGAUAGUUAGGGAGACAAGGAGAUGAAAUAGAAGAAAAAUAUUCCCAGGCAUCCUGAGGCCUCCCCCAGCUGCAGGCACAGACUGUGGGCACCAGCCAACCUGGGCACCAACUGACUGAAACCCCUCACUGAGCCUCGCUAAGCCCUGUGCCCUGCUGUACAGCUGCCCCAAAGCUGUGGGGUUCCCUGAUCCAGUAUGUGUUGAUGGGCUCUCCAUUUUCUCUGAUAUCUCCCCAGGUAUUCAUAUGCUGCACGGGGGUCUGGAUGUCUCCAGCAGUGGCACAGCAGCCUGAUGCCUCUUCUUGUCUGGGACAUGGGAUCCUCCACAGCUCUUCUGGGGUAUGGAGUCCUUGGGUGGCCCACUGAAGGGGGACAUCUUGAAGAGAAGCAGCUAGACGUCAUGAUGCAGUUGUUCAUUUUGGUCAUCGCCUCUGAGGCAAGCAUCCAAGUACAGGAGGAAUAAUCUAGGAGAUGUAUCAAAAAGGUAAUAGGUUUGAAACAGAGGCAGGCAAAUUAAGUGCUAUCAUUCUUCCAUGUAGUUAAAGACUGAGAGAAUUGUUGGUUAAGGACGUGUAUACAAGGGUUUGAGAAAGCAUAUUGAACAGUAUAAUAAUACUGAACCAGAAUAAGGUUUCAUGGGAUAUGGCUAGGUGUGUAUUAGGUGAUGUGCCUGCCUGUCUAAUAACCUAUCCCUAAUUGCUGUAUGUAAUGUUUCCAAACUGUUUAUCCUGUAAUGUAUGAUGCAAAGCGCUGUAUUAAGACCUUUCUUUUAAGGAAAAGAAGAAAAAGAACAUGGUAAAAAGAAAAACACCAUGCAUGAAUUUGUGUUUCAUUGAAGGUAAAAUGCAAGUUUAUCUGUUUGUUACAGAGAUGGAAGCAAUGAUAGCAAAUGCUGACAAAGAGAAAAGAUGGACAAGCGGUUUUUUGUGAUUAAUACCUAAUGGACUGGAUGAAACAAG